UACGUAGGGUGCAAGCGUUGUCCGGAAUUAUUGGGCGUAAAGAGCUCGUAGGCGGUCUGUCGCGUCUGCUGUGAAAACUCAGGGCUUAACCCUGAGCUUGCAGUGGGUACGGGCAGACUAGAGUGCGGUAGGGGAGACUGGAAUUCCUGGUGUAGCGGUGAAAUGCGCAGAUAUCAGGAGGGAACACCGGUGGGCGAAGGCGGGUCUCUGGGCCGUAACUGACGCUGGAGGAGCGGAAAGCAUGGGGGAGCGAACAGG
RNAcentral lists this ribosomal RNA (258 nucleotides) under uncultured bacterium. RNAcentral describes it as "partial 16S ribosomal RNA". It matches the Rfam family "Bacterial small subunit ribosomal RNA", at positions 524 to 776 of the family's 1533-position model. The record is from RNAcentral.